RNAcentral lists this ribosomal RNA (460 nucleotides) under uncultured bacterium. RNAcentral describes it as "partial 16S ribosomal RNA". It matches the Rfam family "Bacterial small subunit ribosomal RNA", at positions 338 to 795 of the family's 1533-position model. The record is from RNAcentral.
CCUACGGGAGGCAGCAGUGAGGAAUAUUGGUCAAUGGACGAGAGUCUGAACCAGCGAAGUAGCGUGAAGGAUGACUGCCCUAUGGGCUGUAAACUUCUUUUAUAAAGGAAUAAAACGAGUCACGUGUUCCUUUUUGCAUGUACUUUAUGAAUAAGGAUCGGCUAACCCCGUGCCAGCAGCCGCGGUAAUACGGAGGAUCCGAGCGUUAUCAGGAUUUAUUGGGUUUAGAGGGAGCGUAGAUGGGUUGUUAAGUCAGUUGUGAAAGUUUGCGGCUCAACCGUAAAAUUGCAAUUGAUACUGGCAGUCGUGAGUACAGUUGAGGUAAGCGGAAUUCGUGGUGUAGCGGUGAAAUGCUUAGAUAUCACGAAGAACCUCGAUUGCGAAGGCAGCUUACUAAACUGUGACUGACAUUGAUGCUCGAAAGUGUGGGUAUCAAACAGGAUUAGAUACCCUGGUAGUC